Neofelis nebulosa (Clouded leopard) is the source of this 618-nucleotide long non-coding RNA. RefSeq lists it as uncharacterized. The transcript is spliced from 5 exons. The record is from RefSeq and is a predicted model, not a curated record. NCBI's taxonomy places the organism in Eukaryota, Metazoa, Chordata, Mammalia, Carnivora, Felidae.
CAGGCCAGGUUCUGAAACGGAAGGGGCGCCAGAGGGGCUGAGUUCUUUCUCCAUUCUGAGGCACGGCGGGGAGGCAGGAAACCGAAAGCAGAGGGGAACUUACUUUUCUGGGAAUGCAUUUGUCUGUUUUAGAUGAGAAACUGAGACCACAGCGCUGAAGGGACUUGCCCAAGGCCACACAGCUUCACUGACCUCCAAAGUACCAAGCAAGCAGGAACCUAGAUAAGGAAGAUGUUGGGAAGAUACAGGCUGACAGCAGCGAGCCCGAUGUGGGGCUCGAACUCACGAACCACGAGAUCAUGACCUGAGCCAAAGUCAGAUGCUCAACUGACGAAGCCACCCAGGUGCCCCGGGACAGGCUUUCUGAGACUCUGUAAUGCAUGACCCAAGGAAACAUCCGGCCAUGUGGAAGAAAGUGCUUCCAGGAUUAAAUUAAACAUCCUCUUCAAGGUAAUUUACAGGCUAAGGAUUUUAAGACUCCUAUUUGUCACACACUCAGAGUUGGGGGGUGGUGGUAGCACAGUUUGGAUGAUUGCUUUCUCACUGGCUUGUCAGGGCUGGCCUAGAUGUGCUCGUCAUUAACUGGAAGCCUAGCAAGGGGAGUACGCUGUGUCUGUG